AGCGAACGCUGGCGGCAGGCCUAACACAUGCAAGUCGAACGAAAACUUCGGAGUGAUUGGCGGUUUGGUGAGGAAUGCCUGGCAACGUGCCAAUUUGUUGGGAACAACCUAGGGGAACGUGUUCUCAUAUCGAAACUGUCCCUCGGGGGAAAUAUUUGCGCCGAUUAGAGCGGCCGGCGCUUGAUUAGUUAGUUCGUGAGGUAACGGCGGAUGAAGGCGACGAUCAGUAGCUGGUCUGAGAGACUGACCAGCCACACCGGGGCUGAGACGCGGUCCAGACUCCUACGGGAGGGAGGAGAGGGGGAUCUUGCGCAGCGGGGGAUAGGAUGACGCAGCCAUGGCGGGUGAAUGAUGAAGGUCUUAGGGUAGUAAGUUUCUUUCACCCGGGACGAUAAUGACGGUACCCGGAGAAGAAGCCCCGGCUAACUUCGUG
This 433-nucleotide ribosomal RNA is filed under the name uncultured bacterium. RNAcentral's name for it is "partial 16S ribosomal RNA". It matches the Rfam family "Bacterial small subunit ribosomal RNA", at positions 29 to 507 of the family's 1533-position model. The record is from RNAcentral.